CCUGUUUACCAAAAACAUCACCUCCAGAUAAGAAUCGCCUAUUGGAGGCAAGACCUGCCCAAUGAUUAAUAUUGAAUGGCCGCGGUACUUUGACCGUGUAAAAGUAGCGUAAUCACUUGUCUUGUAAAUUAAGACUAGAAUGAAAGGUUACACGAGGGCAUAACUGUCUCCUUAUCCCUAUCAAUGAAAUUGACCUACCCGUGCAAAGGCGGGUAUAAACCCAUAAGACGAGAAGACCCUGUGGAGCUUCCAAACAUUUACAUCGCAUAAUCAUUAUUCACGAUGCACAGUUUUAGGUUGGGGCAACCACGGAACAAAAGUAAUAUCCACGACGACGAAAAUACAAUUUUCUUAGCCUAGAGUUACAACUCUAAGCACUAGUAGAACUAACGUUAAUAGACCCAGCAUCACUUGCUGCCUAACGAAACAAGUUACCCCAGGGAUAACAGCGCAAUCCUUUCCACGAGCCCGAAUCAACGAAAGGGUUUACGACCUCGAUGUUGGAUCGGGGCACCCCAAUGGCGCAAAAGCUAUUAAAGGUUCGUUUGUUCAACGAUUAAAGCCCUACGUGAUCU
RNAcentral lists this ribosomal RNA (575 nucleotides) under Lampetra fluviatilis (European river lamprey). RNAcentral describes it as "partial 16S ribosomal RNA". It matches the Rfam family "Bacterial large subunit ribosomal RNA", at positions 1799 to 2606 of the family's 2925-position model. RNAcentral also lists the same sequence under 2 other names. The record is from RNAcentral. Lineage: Eukaryota; Metazoa; Chordata; Hyperoartia; Petromyzontiformes; Petromyzontidae.